Molecule: long non-coding RNA, 517 nt
Organism: Camellia sinensis
Lineage: Eukaryota; Viridiplantae; Streptophyta; Magnoliopsida; Ericales; Theaceae
Source: RefSeq, a predicted model, not a curated record
UGGUUCCCUUGGUUUCGAAUUGCAUACUUUUUCCUGUGGACUGCUGUUUAUGUACAUUUUAAAAUGGAUCGUCCAUGCCUGCGUUUCGCUUUGGUGGCCAUACCCUUUUCUUGAUUUGUCAUCUACAUUUGCUCCACUAUGAUGGUUUUAGACAUACAAAUGUGGAUAUGAUUUUUUUUGACAAGUACGGAAGGGCAUUGUUUUUAUACGUCUACCCGUAUAUAUGGUGGUUUGUACAAAUUACUUUUUUGGUGUAGUAAAUAUAAGCUAAUUUGGCAUGGUAGAAAUUAGCAUAUAUGCUAAUUUAGGUUGUGGUACAUAUGUCCUUUUUGUUAAUUAAUUUGGUUAGUCCUGUAUUAUGUAUGAAAUGAAAUUAUUGACGUUGGAUUAGACUUGGUUCGUAUGAAAUUUGUAUUAUAUAUAGAAUUGGACGUUCAAUAUUAAUGUUUUGGAUGGUUGGAGCUAAAAUGUGUGCACAUUGUUGAAUGCUUGAAUGGUUGAUAAUAUAUUUAGCGUU